CAAAAGAACACCCAAAGCAUCACCGCUACUGAACCCUAGAAAAGAAGAUGUGGAAUUUUGGAAGUAAGGACAAUCAUUACUACCCAAAGAAUCAAUGGCAGAGCUGUUAGUUCCUUCCAUCAUUGAGGGUUGGGUAUUAGAGGUGGUUCUCCUCACAGGGGAUGUGAAUGUAAAUGAAAUAACCUCCAUGCCAUUUUUCCUGUUAUCUACAGCUGUGUGCAUGCUUCCAUCUACUGCAACAUUACAUUUUAUAGACCUCUCAUCUCGAUUACAUGACACAUUAUCAGAAACACUUCUGUCAAUUUGGAAAUCGCCAUUUACAGACUGUUUCGUCUGAGAUAUAUUAUUUGGUUUGUCCUUUUCAGAAGUUGUGACCACUGAACGCACCUUUCUGGACACAGUUUCAGGCUUUAAAACAACUUUCUUUACUGUCCUACUAACCCCAACAGAACCACUCAUGGACUGAGCUUUUCUGCCUGGCUGUUUAGAAAAUGAAUUCUUCGAAGUUGAACUCUCUUUACCAGAUACACAAUUUUGCUUCUGGUUAUUCUGCCUGAACACAUUGCUAGUCCUUUCUUCAGAAGUUCUCUUGGUCUUUUGUGUACUGGGCAGGCUUUUAAGUGACUGGUUAGACCGAAUCUCCUUCUGCUCCUUCUGCUUAAUGUUGUUAUUUCUUGAAGUUGAUCCCUCUCUUCUCUGAACAUUGGACUUUGCUUUUACUGAAAGUGAAACUGGUUUUCCCUUAUUCUUUAAACUGCCAGAAGCACCUUUUUCAGAAAACAUUGAAGUACUGCAUGAUGGCUUGCCUUCUGACCCUCUCUGACUACUGCCACUGUGCUGUCCUUUUGUAUUCUCGGCAGAGAACAAUUCAUUUGGUCUUUGAGGCCUAGAUGCUCUAUGAGCUGCUUCCAUUUUCUGUUUCAAACCCUGAAUUCUUAAUGGAAGUGAAGAUGUCCCAAUCGAUGGCACUUUACCAUUUAUACAUGCCUUAGGACUUGCCUCAAUUAU
RNAcentral lists this unclassified non-coding RNA (1008 nucleotides) under Hevea brasiliensis (rubber tree). Lineage: Eukaryota; Viridiplantae; Streptophyta; Magnoliopsida; Malpighiales; Euphorbiaceae. The record is from RNAcentral.